GGACUACUGGGGUAUCUAAUCCUGUUCGCUCCCCACACUUUCGCUCCUCAGCGUCAGAACAUUCCCAGAGAACCGCCUUCGCCACCGGUGUUCCUCCUGAUAUCUGCGCAUUUCACCGCUACACCAGGAAUUCCGUUCUCCCCUGAAUGCCUCAAGUCUGCCCGUAUCGAAAGCAAGCUCCGAGUUAAGCCCGAAGUUUUCACUCCCGACGCGACAAACCGCCUACGAGCCCUUUACGCCCAAUAAUUCCGGACAACGCUCGGACCCUACGUAUUACCGCGGCUGCUGGCAC
RNAcentral lists this ribosomal RNA (292 nucleotides) under uncultured bacterium. RNAcentral's name for it is "partial 16S ribosomal RNA". The record is from RNAcentral.